UAUUGCAUUUAACAAUGUUAUUAAAAGUUCCAUUUUGUUGGUGUUAUGCUCAGCCUUGCAAUGCCCCUCCAGGUGCAUUAUAAUUUUGCCUCUUACCUUCAAAAUGCACCAGAGAAGUAAUGUUGCGGUUUUGCUACCUUUUACCAAUAUGUAAACGAAUGAUGCCCUCUGUAUGUGUUCACCUUCCCCAAAGCUGCCUGAGUCAAAUAGCAGCUCUUUUGUAUUUUAGGCCAUUCUUUUCACAUUAACACCAAGUUGAAAUAAAGAUCUUGCUCAGGAUCUAGGAUUAUUUAGGACUGGAUGAAUAAAGGAGUCUUGAAAAACUGUUGAUUUUGCAGUGCAGGUGGGGAUGCAUUGCUGGAGAAAUUCUGUUGAUACAAAAGUGCCACUGGGAACUGGGACAUUGUCAUGGCCUGUUCAUUAGGGCUCCAUUUCACUCCUAACAGCAGAAGCUGUUCAGGUUUGGAGUAGGUUGGUAUGAAGCCAUUUCCUAGGAGUGACAUUCUGUGCAGUGUGAUCUCCAUCCUUAGGGGAUAAUUGCCUAUUUCACACAACGGUUUUCCCUCUUUCAGGCACGGGUUGACAAUAACCACCUUCUUGUAAUUUAACUUUAAAUCAGUCUGGAAUUAGAGGGUGAAUUUGAAUAUAUACAGUAGAUUGCAUAAGCCUAUGACCCGUUUCAAAAAUGAGCGUUUAGGUGUGUGAGCCUAAUGCUAGCUAUUUCAUAGAAUCAUAGAAUGGUUUGGGUUGAAAGGGGCCUUAAAGGUCAUCUAGUUACAACCCCCAGGAGGAAACAAUGGCCCUAAACCCAUAAGUACACAAUAUAUUUAUGCUUCCUGUCUCCUGUGAUGCAGACAAUCGUAGGCUGAGUACUUGAUCCAAAAUGCAGAGAGACAACUUUUGUAUAAUAUUUGAGUAUUUAAAAUCUCACUGCUUUCCUCAUUAUAAGAUAUUACUACAGGAGUAUAUUUUCCCUCCAUUUCUCUUUUAUAUGGAUAUAAAAAAUCUUUGGUGCAAAAAGCAGUAACUCCGAUGUCCACCAGCAGAGAAGGAGCACUUGUGAAACUCAUUUGCACUUAACCACAAAGUGCUGAAGUGUGUGCUUCAUAUCUUUUGACUUUGUGCUGAAAGAAAUGGAACUGUUCAUGCAAUUACCUUCAGAUGUUUGUUUAGGUACUUUGCUGAUCAGGUUUAAGUGCGAAAAUGUUAUCCAAUGAUUGAUCUUCAAAAUCCCUCACUGCAAAACAUGUUGGCAAUAUAGAACUCUGUUGUAUUAACACAGGAAAAAACUGUGAAUUAGCAUGAGUCAGGAGGCAAAACUGAGCAAAAGCUGAGACAGUGACCCAGAUCGCAGGCACUGCUGGUAACAGCGUCUUCCCUAGUUUUGCAUUAUGAGUUUUAUAUAUACAACAUUUCACGGUGCUUGUGGGAGCCCUCAUUUCCCAAGAGGGCUAGGACAGGCAGGAGUGAAAUGUCCUAUAAAAGGAUGGGACUCAGAUGGCAAACCAUGGGGCCAACUUGAACUGCCUUCUGCACUUUCCUGUUGUAGACCUCUCCUGGAGUCUUGUACCAAAUCCCAGUUUUCCCAUUCAUGAAGAAGAAGUGCAAGAGUGUAUGCAUGUAUCAGAGAAUUUGGAUAUGCAUAUGCAUGGUCCAGAGAAGCAUACAGUUAUUUAUGACAUCACCCCUGCAGAACAAACAGCAGUUCCUUGGUCACAUGAGAGCAAAUCUCCGCUCAGCCCACUUCAAACCAAGGACGCCAUGUGCAGACUCCAGUGUAUUUGCUGUGGGAGUAAACACAUUUGCCUUACAAAGUGUCUGUGGAAAUAUGCAAAGCUCAUAGAGAGUCACUAGGACAAAAGUGACUUUGUGUCAAGCAGUGCAACAGAAAGCCAAGACAGAAGCAGAGAAAGGAUGAGGGACUCAGGAAGACAUCCAAAACAAUACAAAGACAGAAACCUGGAAGCAGAUGACAAGAGGGUGACUGUAACGUUUUGGGGUGAGAUCUGGCUGAAGAAGGCAUGGAGGUAGGAGCUGUGUCCAUGGAAAGAAGGGCAGAUGCACAGUCACAAAGCUUUCUUUAUCAGAAUAACAUCAUUUGAGAAGAUAAAGAUCUGUGGACUGUAAUGAGCUUGAAAAGAAAUCCUUCUUAAACUGCAGGAUGUAAAUGGAGGCUCAUGUUAUGUAAAGGGAUUACUGAUCUUGCAAUUUUAGAAAACAAAAAUGUAAAUAUAAGAGCAAAAUUGAUGUCCUUUAACUUUAGCCACAUAAGUUGGAGGCCAUGAAUAACCUCCAGAAAUGUCCUCUCGCUGCUCUCAUCACUGUCUGUGAGUGAAAUUUAGGUGAUUAACUCAGACCAGCUACAAAACAGCGAACAGAGUGCUGAGGUGAGUUGUUGUUUUAUCUCACCUGUGCCUCUCACUUAUCUGGAAGGAUGAUGUGCCAUUCCUCUGUCUGGAGCAUUGCAACAAGGGCUGAUGGAUUACUGUUCUGCAAAAAGCACCAUCACUUUGAUUGGUUGCUUCUUUUCCACGUUGCACAGUUGCUACUGAGAUGUAAAUCUACAUAAAGAAAUCUAUCAGACUAGGUACUGCCUUCUUUGCAUUGACAAGCUUUCUUUGGUUUCUGAAAGGCAGGAAUUAGUUCAAAAAUGAGCAAUGACAGCAAAUCAGUAGGUUGUCUUCAACAUUUCUGAAAACAUGCUUAGGAAAACGUAUUUUAAAGAAUUGGUGGCCAUUAAACUAUGUAUAUCAUAACAUGUCAAGGACAAAAAUAGGCGAAGACUUGCUCCCGUCUGUGUGCUGCCUGCGCUGCUUUGACAGCUGUGGUGAGAGCUACAGAGAAGCAUUGUGCUCACCUGGGGGAGUAUUUUGCUUGCCCAAAGGCCAUGUUUAUGCAACAGGCCAAAUCCUAGAAGUAUUGCUGUAUAUGAGCUAAAUUUCAUGUUGUACUAUAGUCAGGGAGAACCCAGUCCCUCCUUGGACUAAGAAAAUACACUGGGAUGUGAUCAGUUUCUUUCAUUUCAUAGAAUCAUUCACAUAGGUAAAGACCUUCAAGAUCACCAAGUCCAGUCACCAACCAAGUCCAACCAAGUCCCACCACUAAGUCAUGUCCCUUAGUGACUAUAGGCAGGGAAAAUCAGCACAUUCUUCAGUACAAGAGUUGCAUUUUGAAAAAUAGUCAUUAAGACCUCCCUUCAGUGAAAGAGUUGAGAGUGCACUGAGCUAAACUUUAAACAGGAAAAAAAAAUUAGAGGAGUUCUUAAUGGCUGCUAGAUUGCUUAUCUGAGCAGAACUACUUUAAUACCUUUUAAAUGAGCACCUCUUUUUACAGCAAGAAUGGUUUUCAAACCUGGGACUCCAGGAAUACUGAAUGAAGAACUGCAUGGGGUGGGUGUUAAAGAGAAGAACUCAAGUUGUUGAAAUCCUCUUUGUUAGUUACCUUUUAUUCAGAUACUAUUCAGAUGCAGAAGACUUUAUUAAAUAAGAGCAAGAUAUAUUUGAUUCCAAAAAAGCAUUUAUCUGUGAGGUACCUUUGCCAGCCCGGGGAACCUGAUGGGUAGCAAUGCUGCAGCCUCCCCUGAGCAGCUUGAUAAUAAGGAGGUACCACUGAAAGGUUUUGGCCCUUGGCUAGAUGCAAAUACUCUUAGCAUGCAUUUGACCACCAUUAUAUCACAUGCAUAUGUAGUUGCCUAAUAUUAUUUGUCUAUGUAGCUCACUGGUGAUAAUUCAUUUAAUGUGAAACAUUUCUUAAUAAUAUACAUUGUUCUGGGCCAGGACAUAUUUUUCUCUUCCAAUAUCUUCCUAUGCUGGCUGAGUUGUGCAGCUUGGCUGGAUUGCUUCAGAAGCAGAUCUCUCUUGGCAAACUGACAAGCACCUUUGCCAAGAAGAAUUCUGCUGAGGAAUUGGUGUUUUUGAAUGUUCGAGAACCAAUCUGGGAAAGGGCUUUCAGGCUUUGCUUUUCUGUGGACUGCCGACGUUCACACAUUGUACAGAUGUGCAGUGCCUGUGUCUGUUUUGUCCUUGUGACAAUAGACAUGUGUUCACUUAAUUAGUGGGACAGUAAGGAGAUUUUGAUGUUUUGGGUGAGUUCAUCACUGAUAGUACCCUCAGUGAUUUUCAGUGUUGCCUUGUUGCCCAGAAAGAGGCAGUUUCAUGGAAGAGAUUGAGAAAACUAACAUCAAAAGGCUGCUAGCAAAGCAUGCAGAUACAUGUAUUGCAGGCAUCUGAUAUUCCCAUUGGUGUAUUUUUAAAUUUAUAUAUAGAUGUACCUAAUAAAUGGAGAAGGGUUCAGAUCUCUGAACUGCAUGAAGCAUCCAAAAGGUAUGUGUAAUUCAGCCAGGCCUCACAGCUGCCUUUCAGUGAACUGUUUGCUAGAGCUUUGCAUAAAGCAUGAGCUGAAUCCCCUGCCCGGCAUAGCUUGAAACUGAUCACUAGAACACCAGUUGGGUGAUUGGGACCAUAGGUGUAAAAUCUGUGUAAGUCAUGCAUGUUUAGUCAUAGAAUCAUUUGAACUGGAAGGAACCCUUAAAAGUCAUCUGGUUCAACUCCCCUGCGAUGAGCAGGGACACCUACAGUUGCAUCAGGUUGCU
This is a long non-coding RNA of Gallus gallus (chicken), 4591 nucleotides long. RefSeq lists it as uncharacterized. The transcript is spliced from 4 exons. NCBI's taxonomy places the organism in Eukaryota, Metazoa, Chordata, Aves, Galliformes, Phasianidae. The record is from RefSeq and is a predicted model, not a curated record.